GAAUGUGUGUAAUGCAAACUCGUGUUUCGGGAAAGCAUGUUUAACAAAUAAUAUGUGUGUGGAUUUUCAUGAUCAAUGUAUAUGCAACGUGGGUUAUAAAAUGAAUUCAACCACUGGGGAUUGCGACGAUGUGGACGAAUGCGCCAACCAUUACCACGAUCCUUGCGGACACAGAGGAAGCUGUACCAAUUCUCUCGGCAGUUUCUUUUGCAACUGUCUCUAUGGUUGGACAAAUGAUACGCACUGCUUAACGAAAGUGCAAGACUGUCCUCUAUGUAUGCCAGGGUAUGAAGGAUCGAGAUGUGAUUACACAGUCUGCGAACACGGGUUUGCUGAACCAAUAGGCAUGAAUAAUUUUUCGUAUGUAUAAUAUUCUCAACGCACAUUUAUCAAACGGUUAACAUAUAAUCUAUAAAAAAAACAUGAACAUUUAUUGGGUACAUAAUCGGGCAAAAACUGUGUUUGUUAGUGUUUAUUCUUUUAGCAGUAUUUCUUUGUAAUAAACGAUACAAUCAUAAUUUGCAAUCCAAAGCGCUACAGUUGCUAGAGUG
Dreissena polymorpha is the source of this 551-nucleotide long non-coding RNA. RefSeq lists it as uncharacterized. The record is from RefSeq and is a predicted model, not a curated record. The transcript has 3 exons. NCBI's taxonomy places the organism in Eukaryota, Metazoa, Mollusca, Bivalvia, Myida, Dreissenidae.